This 25-nucleotide non-coding RNA is filed under the name Cricetulus griseus (Chinese hamster). The record is from RNAcentral. Lineage: Eukaryota; Metazoa; Chordata; Mammalia; Rodentia; Cricetidae.
GUAGUAAACUUGGUCCUUGCCUCAG